This 3921-nucleotide long non-coding RNA is filed under the name Nicotiana tabacum (common tobacco). RNAcentral describes it as "long non-coding RNA (NTAB_LNC018977)". Lineage: Eukaryota; Viridiplantae; Streptophyta; Magnoliopsida; Solanales; Solanaceae. The record is from RNAcentral.
GGAGAUAAUAAAAGAAUAAUUCAAAUAAACUUGCAAUGUACUUCAAACAAAGAGUAAACCUCGUGUAAUACAUCAACGAAUAAAGAAAACUAUCUCAAGGGGCAUGCUAGCAAUUAACUUUAUAAAAAGCAAAUGUAUUAUUAUAGUAUCAAAAAUAACAAAAAUUAUAAUUGUCCAAAGUCUUAGUGAUUAAAUUCCAUUAGAUCAAAUUGUCGUUUGGCCACCAUUUCCAACUGCUCACAAAGACUUUCCUGCACAUUUAAAAUAAAAUUAGUAAUUAGAUAGAAAUCAAUAGUAUGCAAGUGCAAACUCAUAGCAAUGUGACAGAGUUUGCCCCUUGAAAAUUUAAAUACCAAGCACUAUUCUAAGAGCAGAUGUCUGUUAUAAGUAUAAGACUUAAGCCUAACCAAACUAGUAGGGGUACGCUAUAAUACUUCUCAACAUUUAUCAGUUGUUCCAUUAGUUGUUUUUCUUUUUUGUGCAAUGCCAUCAACACUUUUUUUGUAUUUUGUAUUAUCAGCAACACUUCCUUUUAUACUUUUAUGAAAAAUACAUAUCAGAAAAUAGAAGGAAAAAAGAAGACACUUUCAAAUUUCAAUCAGUCGUAUCCAUUACCGGAACACAAGUAUACAUUCACUCGAUCAUGUCCAUUAUAGAAAGACAUAUCCAAAUUAAUAGCUGAUAGAACAAUGCUAUUACAGAUAAAAAAAGAUCCAAGAAAAUAAUGGGUUUGACGAGUACGACUUUAUAAUCCAGAUUCCAGAAUUGAUGAUUAAUAAGAUUUAAGAGUAAAUUACCCCCCACUUGUGAAAUUACAUAUACAUAAACUUUCAUAUCUUCGAUGAUAAUGUAAAAAAAGAUACGACUCGUGAACCAUGUAUCAUACAAUAUGUAAUGGAUAAAAGAAUCAAUCAAUUAUUAAAUCAUUAACAUUUAUAAGUUUUAUAUUUACUCUUUGUUUCCACCUACUCAACCUUAUCAAUUUUACAAUAGUUCUAUUAAAAGCUUGUUCAAAAUUCAAGCAUCUCAAAAAUCCUAAAGUACAACAGUUAUGCAUGCUCACACUAAACAUUUCUGAUUGCAUUCUCCCAGUUGAAUUACUGACAAGACAAAGUUUAAUAGGAAGCCAAGAACCAAAAUGAAAUUAACAGAUCUGAAAAGGUUACCAAUCAAAAAUGUAAAAUAAUGCUUUCAAAUCCUAUCUUUAGCUUCAACAGAUACAUAAUACAAAGAAGACCAAAACCUCAAACCCUAUCAUGGAAACAUCAUUUACAUAAAACUCCCGCCUAUGUUAAGAAGCUCAACCUCUGGUUACUUUAGACCAUCAUAUCAUAAAUAAACUAUGAUUCGGUGAUCAAUCAAAUGUAAAAUAGAAUAUUUGUACUAAAAUUCCAUAACAUAUCUCACAGUACCAAAAAGAAUAUUAGCUUCAUCUUUAAAUGAAAACAAUGUUAGCAUAGGCUAACACGUUUACAUUACAUCUCAAUACCUAAUCACGUAGUUAAAAUAUAGAUUAAGAACUUUUUCCCUAUCAUUUAAGCACUUUAAAACCUUUAAUAUUGGUAUCGUAUUUUGAUGCACAUGGAAAUUAUUACUUUCUAACAUAUAAUUAUGAAUCUCAUGACAUAUAUAUGUUUGGGUAAUCAAUUGGACCUUUGAUAUUGCACAUUCAUCAAAAUCCAUAUGGAGCAGACCUCUAGCCGAUUUUGAGAUUACUAAUUCUCUGAAAACCUUGUCCUCCUACAAAUAGCCACAAGACAUUAACUCAACAACUAACAAAAUAUACUAGACAGGAAAAUCUAAUAAAUAAAUAUUCUAAAGACAAUCAAAACAACCACAAAGAAAAUAGUAGAGAUGAAAAUCUAAGACCUCAUGUAGAAAAUCUAAGUGAAACUGCUAUGCAAUCAUGUAAAAGACAGCUAGAAACAAAUUUACAUCGACAAGUCAACAGUAUACCCCUUCCGCUCCAUUUCUACUUCCUCUGUUUGACAAAAACUUAGAUUGUCAAGGUAUAAUAACUGAGUUUACACUAAUUAGUUGAAAUAUCUACAACAUCCAGUAUAUCCUCCAGAACUGCUCUCUUCAAUAACAUCGAGGCAGGCUGUAUAAUGUGCAUGCCUGGAGAAGUCUUCAAAACGUAUUGUCUAGUAGUUUCUAGGAUAGCAGAUGACUCAUGUAUAGGUUCAAUUUUAUCUAUCCUUUGAAGUCUAUUAGUAUGCGCUUUACGUCCCUUUGCAAUAUGUAAUGCCCAGAUACAAGAAAUUACUAAGAGGUCUUAAGAAGAUACCACAUCAUAGAUAAUACCCCAUUCCUUCCCUUCAUCAGAAGUAUUGAUCUUUGAUGAUUGUCACAUGGUAAUAACUAGUUUUUAGUACAAAUAUAGAUGGAAAGGAAAAAAUACAACACCUGAUUCUUUUUGCGUUUAGAUAAUCUUUUAACAAUGCAAAAAUGUCAAUCACUUCAAACAUUAAUAGAUAUUACUGCAAGAAGCUAUGUAAGAAUGGGCUAUCUUUUUUGCCAAUUUCAACAGAACUAAAUCGGCUUCGACCCAUUGGCUAUGUAAGAAUUGGGGUAUUUCAAUGGCCUUUAAUGUCCAAACAAGCCAUGGAAGACAUUGAGUUCCGUCGAGCAUAUGUGCAACUUUAUCAGAAAAAUAACGCAUUAAGGAUGAAGCAAGAUCUCGGUCAAGCAACAAUAAUUUAAGGAAGCAAGACAUUUUAACCUCCACAACUAAAUAAUUCCAACCUUCAGUUCAGGUAGACCAAGUUCAGCUCUCGAUGUUGCAAUUCGAGCACUGAACCACUAGAAUAAACCAAUGAUAUAAACAUGUCAGCUUAAAUAUUGAAGGCUAUAAAAGUGUAAUACCAUAAAGUUGAAUAGUACAAUUUACGAAAAUAACAAACCAUAGCCUAUUCUAAGCACCCACCACUGGCAAAUCUUUGAACAGUAGCAACAAAAGGAUUCUUUCUAUCUAGAAUAACCAACAUUAGAACAAAUAAUUUAUUGAUAAUUUAUCUAUGUCAGUAUUUCAACACUAAAGAACAUCUCUAGAUUCUCAAAAACAUGACCAAAGACUUAGGUACGGAAACAAAUUAGCAACCUACUUAAAUAGCCCAAUUCCUAUAGUCACAAGCAUGAUAUGGAGAACAGAGUUCUGAAUGAUUCUCAAAAUCUGGAAGAAAAAUGUGAGCUUCCAACAGCAAGCCUUAACUUUUGGCGAAGAAAAAGAAAAACUCACUAAGGUAGAGAAACAAACUAUACGAGGACGAAAAGGAGCGAGCAAAAUCAAAGUAGUGGAAGUGGAUAUUGAAGUAUUAGUAGUAAUAUUAGCAAUUACAGAGCAAAUUACACGGAUGAGUGCUCUGCGAGUAAACCUCUGGGUAUUGGACGACAAUGGAGAUAUUAUCAAGGUGGGUUAAAAGAACCAAAACCCUAAUUCAAAGCCUUAAUCGAAGUACUCAAAUAAUCAAAACCCUAAACUGGAAACUACUGAAAAUAAAGGGGCAGGAGGUUACCAUUUCAAGACAUAAUCAACUAUUAAUGUAGAAGCAACGGUAACGUCGGCAAUGGAGGUGGUGGAAGAUGCGGCAGUAAAAAUAUAAAUUUCUUCAGCACCAGCAAGUUGAUGGAGGUGUGGGAUUAAAAAUGGGCAAAUAUUUACUGUGCAUCCUUUUUCCUUUUAGAAAAUGGGAGAUAAUAUUUGAUUAGAAAAAAUAAUGGAGGGAAACUUCUAAUGAAAAUUUUGGUUGGAAAAGUUUAGAGCACGCUUAUAAAAGGUUGCUUUUAGGAUUAAGAAAUGGGACGCUCUAAAAGCGUUGUAAUAUAGGUAAGUAUGUGUUUCCAAAUGUUAUUUGAGUUGACAACACUUAUACUACGUUGUCAAUAUACUCAAAGAGAACUCUUAACAAGCAUGGUCUAAAC